RNAcentral lists this transfer RNA (69 nucleotides) under Anomaloglossus roraima. RNAcentral's name for it is "tRNA-Ser". The record is from RNAcentral. Lineage: Eukaryota; Metazoa; Chordata; Amphibia; Anura; Aromobatidae.
GAGUUUGUUAAGGAAGCAGCGAGAACUGCUAAUUACUCGCCACCCUGGUUCGACUCCACGGCUAACUCA